RNAcentral lists this ribosomal RNA (252 nucleotides) under uncultured prokaryote. RNAcentral's name for it is "partial 16S rRNA". It matches the Rfam family "Archaeal small subunit ribosomal RNA", at positions 475 to 726 of the family's 1478-position model. The record is from RNAcentral.
ACUGGCAGCUCAAGUGGUGGCCGUUUUUAUUGGGCCUAAAGCGUUCGUAGCCGGUUUGAUAAGUCUCUGGUGAAAUCCUACAGCUUAACUGUGGGAAUUGCUGGAGAUACUAUCAGACUUGAGGUCGGGAGAGGUUAGAGGAACUCCCAGGGUAGGGGUGAAAUCCUAUAAUCCUGGGAGGACCACCUGUGGCGAAGGCGUCUAACUGGAACGAACCUGACGGUGAGUAACGAAAGCCAGGGGCGCGAACCG